AACGAACGCUGGCGGCAUGCCUAACACAUGCAAGUCGAACGAGACCUUCGGGUCUAGUGGCGCACGGGUGCGUAACGCGUGGGAACCUGCCCUUAGGUUCGGAAUAACUCCCCGAAAGGGGUGCUAAUACCGGAUAAUGUCUUCGGACCAAAGAUUUAUCGCCUUUGGAUGGGCCCGCGUUGGAUUAGCUAGUUGGUAGGGUAAAAGCCUACCAAGGCGACGAUCCAUAGCUGGUCUGAGAGGAUGAUCAGCCACACUGGGACUGAGACACGGCCCAGACUCCUACGGGAUGCAGCAGUGGGGAAUAUUGGACAAUGAGCGAGAGCCUGAUCCAGCAAUGCCGCGUGAGUGAUGAAGGCCUUAGGGUUGUAAAGCUCUUUUACCCGGGAUGAUAAUGACAGUACCGGGAGAAUAAGCUCCGGCUAACUCCGUG
Molecule: ribosomal RNA, 433 nt
Filed under: uncultured bacterium
Lineage: Bacteria
Description: partial 16S ribosomal RNA
Rfam family: Bacterial small subunit ribosomal RNA
Source: RNAcentral